Molecule: non-coding RNA, 72 nt
Organism: Haemonchus placei
Lineage: Eukaryota; Metazoa; Nematoda; Chromadorea; Rhabditida; Trichostrongylidae
Source: Rfam
GUCUCGGUACUGUAGGGGAUAGAGCACUGUGCCCGGAAAGCACAAGUACGGGUUCGAGUCCCGUCCGAGACU